UACGUAGGGACCAAGCGUUGUUCGGAUUUACUGGGCGUAAGGGCGCGUAGGCGGCUUGACAAGUCACUUGUGAAAUCUCUGGGCUUAACCCAGAACGGCCAAGUGAAACUGCCGAGCUAGAGUGCAGAAGGGGCAAUCGGAAUUCUUGGUGUAGCGGUGAAAUGCGUAGAUAUCAAGAGGAACACCUGAGGUGAAGACGGGUUGCUGGGCUGACACUGACGCUGAGGCACGAAAGCCAGGGGAGCAAACGGG
RNAcentral lists this ribosomal RNA (252 nucleotides) under uncultured bacterium. RNAcentral describes it as "partial 16S ribosomal RNA". It matches the Rfam family "Bacterial small subunit ribosomal RNA", at positions 524 to 776 of the family's 1533-position model. The record is from RNAcentral.